AGCCAAUGAUGAGCUCUUUAACAUUUCUGACACCUCGUAUGAGAACUGCGCUUGCAGUUGCUGAUUUCCUGAUGUGAGCUGAGGCUC
This is a small nucleolar RNA of Eublepharis macularius, 87 nucleotides long. RefSeq annotates it as small nucleolar RNA SNORD60. The transcript has a single exon. The record is from RefSeq and is a predicted model, not a curated record. Lineage: Eukaryota; Metazoa; Chordata; Lepidosauria; Squamata; Eublepharidae.